UUUUUUUUUUUUUUUUUUUUUUUUUUUUUAAGUAAUCCGUUUCAGUUAAACUAGAAUAGUGUAUCACAGGAUGCAAAGGAAACGGCUCUGACUAGGAAAACUUUACAAGCCUCUGGCUUAAGUAUUUAAAGCAUGCCCCUCUCCUUCCUAGCACUUGCAGUGCAUACUUCAAGAUAUGGUACUGCUUAUGCUUACUGUGCUAAAGAAAAAGUGACAGUAGGAGAAUCUGGAAGCUGACAUACCCAAGGAACAAGUAAAGGACACAGUGGACUGUGCUGAAAGACAAGAACUGCAUUAAUUUUACACUAUUAAAGCUAUUUAAAACACUGGCUACAGAAGCAAGCACUGCUGUGCUAUUUAGCUGCAGAGAGAUUCAUCUUCCCAGAAGAAAAGCAAAGUGCAAGUCAUGAAGGUUCAAAAGGCAAAGGAGUUCAGCUUGUACAUACCAUAAUGAAUUCUGUGCAAGAGGCAGCUUCCCAGGUGAAGGGCAUCUGUGCUGGAAUCCCAGCUCCUUUGAGAAGCUUGGCUUCUGACUGGCAAAAGUUCCCUCCCCUUUUGGUGCUAGCCCUCUUUGUAGCUUGCAGAUCCUCAGCUGUGAGCAGUGCACCAGGAAUGUGUCUACCUCAGUUUCAUCUCAUUCCCAGCACCACUAGGUUUUACUUGUGUCUAGGCUCGAGCUCUUCUUCAGGGAGUUCUGCUAAGCCUUAGUCUUUGGAACUUCUGCAGCAAGCCCUAAAGUAUUAAUGAUGCACCUCUGAGCACUAGGAUUUUGGUGUUUGCUACAAUAAAUGAUAUCAAUACUCAGAUUACAAGAGAACUCAAGUUCAAGAGCAUGGAGAAAAUAGAGGAAAAUGUUUUCCACAGUAAGAGAAAUUUUGGAGGGAAAAAAGAAAACAAAAGCUGAAGUUCAGUGAUUUUGUUUGUUUAAGGUACACGAGCACAGGUUUAAGUAGCAAAACAAAAACAGCAGAUUAUUGGACAGACUUCACAUAUGGGAGGGGACAGUGAACAUUGCAGCAUGCUUUCAAUAAAGUUCUUUUCAAGCCUCAUACACCCCUCAUAAGAAACAAACUAUUGAUACAAGAGAUUACUCAUAUUGCCUACUUUGAUAUGGUAAUAAAAUAACUUUGUGGUUAUUAAUAGAUAGUUUUAUUACAACACAGUAUUUCCAAAUGAUUUAACAACAUAAUUGGUGGUUGCAGGUUACUUAAAGUCUCCCACUUCAAUUUUUGUUUCUCAAAAAGUUGCUACAUUGGAAAGGCUUCAAGCACUUGAGGCACAAUGAGUUUGACACUGAUUCAAGUUUAGAGAGAAAAAUAAGUGUGACAAGAUAGUAAGCAAGCUUACUAUAAAAGUGCAAAUGUUACCAUUCCUCUUUCACAUUUUAAGAGUUGCAUACAUUAUUCUAAAACCAAACAGCUUAAGAGUGGUUUUACAGUACUGCUGUCUGCCUGAAACUCAUGAAGCAUAGCUGUUCAAGUUCUUAAACAUCGUAAUUAUUGUUUUGUAUUUUAAAUAAUGUAUUUUAAGAGCACAUGAUGGGUCUGUUACUUAAUUUUGACAUUGGGAAUGUUUGUAUUUCCUGAAACAUGCAUCCAAGGUCUGUACUUGAUUUCUUCAAAAUAGGUAAAAAUUUCAAAAUGAAUCUACACAGUAUCCAAAUUCAAUGUAGAUAAAUGAAUUCAGCUGGGCAGUUUCAGCCACAUUGAACCCGGAUUACUAUGCAGUGGCAUUUAGACAUAGUCUGCAUUUCAUUCUGCAACUGUUCAGUGCUCCAGCCCUUUUAUGUCUAACUACUAAUCUUUUUGCCCUUUAAAACAUUAAAGAUAUCUUCCAGUGACUUGUAUGUACACUGGAGGAAUUCUUUCCCAUUCCUAGCUGGGUAAGAGGAAGCAUUGCAACCUAUCCAAUCACCAUGCAUUUGAUAUCCUAUUCCAAAGCCAUCAGGCACCACUGGGCCAAACCCUCCUAAUUGCACAGCUGGGCUAACCAAUGUGCUUGUAGAAAUGAUGUUGUGAUUAAGCCGAGCAUAGGCUUGGUCUUGGUAGAAAUCAGGUAAUGCAGUACCUUUGGAUAAGGCUAAGUAGCGCAAGCCAAAGAGAUGUCGGUCAAACCCCUGACCUGUAGAAAUAAAGUAACAAUUAUUAGAGAUAUCACUAAUUUUUGUGGGAAGUAAACUCCAUUACUUAGACAUCACAUUGCUUUUAAGUCACAAAACCAGGAGAAGGUCUGUAGAACAGCUUUUGUUUAACUUAGCAGAAACAUUUUACAGAAUCGAGACAUCUGCACUUUUAGCACACCUAUGCCAGGAAAUGAGCCCUCUCUUAGGGACAGCUGUUUUAUUGCUAGCCCUUGACCAGCAAUCAUGAUAGUAAAUAAAAGUGCAACGUUAAAGAUUUUAAUAAUACAUCACAUUCUUCAAUUAACUAUAUUCAAGUUUUUACCUGAAUAUUUUCAGGUUGUUUAAAACAAGUCAGAGAGAGAAAGGCCUUCCCUAAAUUUAUGAAUCUAAAGAGGAAGAGGAUAUUGUAUCAACAAAGGAGACACAUUUUAGAUGCUACUGGGUAAUGUUCAAUAGUCUUACUGAUUUUACUGAAAAGAUAUGUUAUGUUUCUGGGAAGGGCAAUUCAAAGGAAAAAAAUAGAAAAAUACCAAGAGUAGCAUAGCCAAAGAAUCAGUUUGGUUUGCAAGUUUUAAAAACCUUUAUCUGCCUGCAGGGGAUAGCAUAGCAACUCGUUAGUCAUAAAGCUAGAGUUCUUGGUUGCCUUCCAGAGUACAGCAUGCUCUAAGUAUUAAUCAAUGCUUCAAAUAUCCAAGCUGCUAUAAAAAGAGAAAUUAAGGUAGAGAAAAAAAUCUAGACAUGUAAUAGUAAAGUAGGAGCAUGGAGGCAUUCUCCUCCAUCAAGAAAUGGGUUAUACAGAACACAUUUUGAACUGGAACCUUCUGCUACUGUUCAUGCUAGAAAGUCUACUUAGCAUCAGACCUCCAUCAAGAUUAAAUUAUUUAGUUGCAAAGUAAACUUUUACUGCAACUUAAGCAGUCAUUUCAGUGGAAAAGCUCAAGUGUUCUAUAUAUUCCUACUUACCCAUGGCAGCUUCUUUUGUCAAACGGCCAUGGUAUUCUGAGCACUCGACAAUCAUCUUCUGAAGCUCUUCUGUGCUGUGUUUGGAUGGUUCUUUGACAAAAGCCUCUGAACAUUUCUUCGUAUGGACAGAGGCAGGACGUACAGUUUCUGUACGACCAUGUUUGAAAGCUGCCGUGCUGCAAGAUUCAUAUGUAGCAACAGUCUGAUUGUAUUGUCGAAGGAAAGCCAUCUGGAAGGCAAGCUGAGCCACAGCAUCUGGACUUAUCUUCUUCUGCUUUAGAAAGUCCUUGCCCCCUUUUUGGAACUGAAUUAUAUCAAGAGUAAGUGCUUCUACAGUAGAAUCAAAAUUCUGUUUGGCUUUGGUAAUUCCUGCUUUUAAGGCAUCAUUCAGCUUGAAGUCAAGUCUCUGUACUGCUCUAGAAGAGUCUACUGAAGCAGGCUGGGACUGGGGGCUGACAGCUGACUCUCCAACGCUAUCUUUAAAAACCUCAUUCUGGAAUCUGAGCACAGCCACACCAUCUCCCCAGGAAUGUUCAAAAUUAAUUCCCGCAGUGCCAUCUUUAGUUAUGAUAAGAUUAAAGGAUUUGUCAUACCAGCGGUUAGCACCACUUCCAUGCAACAUAGUGCGGGACAAGUGCACAAAGUCUUUAACAGGAAAAUCAUCUAAACUUAAACAAAAGAUGGCAGAGUCUACUUUUUGAAGAGCUUCUUCAUUGCCAUUGUCCAAUAGAUUAUUUCUCAACAAUGCCCAUGUAUCUCGGUUUUCACUGGAGAGAUACCCAAGAGGGAAGGCUGGGGUUGGACUGUUGUCACUGAGGAUGUAUUUCAAGUGUGCUUGUAUUUCUGAAGGUUUCAGCAUACUUCCAUCUCUAUCAAUAACAUCAAAUACAUAAAAAUUCCCAUUUCUCAGUA
Dromaius novaehollandiae (emu) is the source of this 3997-nucleotide long non-coding RNA. RefSeq lists it as uncharacterized. NCBI's taxonomy places the organism in Eukaryota, Metazoa, Chordata, Aves, Casuariiformes, Dromaiidae. The transcript has 2 exons. The record is from RefSeq and is a predicted model, not a curated record.